This 562-nucleotide ribosomal RNA is filed under the name uncultured bacterium. RNAcentral describes it as "bacterial SSU rRNA". It matches the Rfam family "Bacterial small subunit ribosomal RNA", at positions 772 to 1331 of the family's 1533-position model. The record is from RNAcentral.
ACGGAAUAGAUACCCCGGUAGUCCACGCCCUAAACGAUGCGAACUAGGUGUUGGGGAAGGAGACUUCUUUAGUACCGUAGCUAAACGCGUGAAAGUUCGCCGCCUGGGGAGUACGGUCGCAAGAUUAAAACUCAAAGGAAUUGACGGGGACCCGCACAAGCGGUGGAUGAUGUGGAUUAAUUCGAUGCAACGCGAAAAACCUUACCUACCCUUGACAUGCCCGGAACCCUGGUGAGAGCUGGGGGUGCCCGAAAGGGAAUCGGGACACAGGUGCUACAUGGCUGUCGUCAGCUCGUGUCGUGAGAUGUUGGGUUAAGUCCCGCAACGAGCGCAACCCUUGUCAUUAAUUGCCAUCAUUUGGUUGGGCACUUUAAUGAGACUGCCGGUGACAAACCGGAGGAAGGUGGGGAUGACGUCAAGUCCUCAUGGCCCUUAUGGGUAGGGCUUCACACGUCAUACAAUGGUCGGUACAGAGGGUUGCCAAGCCGCGAGGUGGAGCCAAUCCCAGAAAGCCGAUCGUAGUCCGGAUCGGAGUCUGCAACUCGACUCCGUGAAGUCGGAA